CUAAUACCGGAUAAUAUUUCGAACCGCAUGGUUCGAUAGUAGAAAGGUGGUUUUGCUAUCACUUAUAGAUGGACCCGCGCCGUAUUAGCUAGUUGGUAAGGUAACGGCUUACCAAGGCGACGAUACGUAGCCGACCUGAGAGGGUGAUCGGCCACACUGGAACUGAGACACGGUCCAGACUCCUACGGGAGGCAGCAGCC
This 200-nucleotide ribosomal RNA is filed under the name uncultured Staphylococcus sp. RNAcentral describes it as "partial 16S ribosomal RNA". It matches the Rfam family "Bacterial small subunit ribosomal RNA", at positions 163 to 355 of the family's 1533-position model. Lineage: Bacteria; Bacillati; Bacillota; Bacilli; Caryophanales; Staphylococcaceae. The record is from RNAcentral.